This 427-nucleotide ribosomal RNA is filed under the name uncultured bacterium. RNAcentral's name for it is "bacterial SSU rRNA". It matches the Rfam family "Bacterial small subunit ribosomal RNA", at positions 354 to 796 of the family's 1533-position model. The record is from RNAcentral.
GUGGGGAAUAUUGGGCAAUGGACGCAAGUCUGACCCAGCAACGCCGCGUGAAGGAAGAAGGCUUUCGGGUUGUAAACUUCUUUUAAGAGGGAACAGCAGAAGAGGGUACCUCUUGAAUAAGCCACGGCUAACUACGUGCCAGCAGCCGCGGUAAUACGUAGGUGGCAAGCGUUGUCCGGAUUUACUGGGUGUAAAGGGCGUGCAGCCGGGUCUGCAAGUCAGAUGUGAAAUCCGUGGGCUCAACCCACGAACUGCAUUUGAAACUGUGGAUCUUGAGUAUCGGAGAGGUAAUCGGAAUUCCUAGUGUAGCGGUGAAAUGCGUAGAUAUUAGGAAGAACACCAGUGGCGAAGGCGGAUUACUGGACGACAACUGACGGUGAGGCGCGAAAGCGUGGGGAGCAAACAGGAUUAGAAACCCUAGUAGUCC